AGAGUUGAUCAUGGCUCAGGAUGAACGCUGGCGGCGUGCCUAACACAUGCAAGUCGAACGGGGUUAUAUUAUGAAGUUUUCGGAUGGAAUAAGUAUAACUUAGUGGCGGACGGGUGAGUAACGCGUGGGUAACCUGCCUCAUACAGGGGGAUAACAGCUGGAAACGGCUGCUAACACCGCAUAAGCAUACAGCAUCGCAUGAUGCAGUGUGAAAAUAUUAAUAGGUAUGAGAUGGGCCCGCGUCUGAUUAGCUGGUUGGUAAGGUAACGGCUUACCAAGGCGACGAUCAGUAGCCGGCUUGAGAGAGUGACCGGCCACAUUGGGACUGAGACACGGCCCAAACUCCUACGGGAGGCAGCAGUGGGGAAUAUUGCACAAUGGGGGAAACCCUGAUGCAGCGACGCCGCGUGAGUGAAGAAGUAUUUCGGUAUGUAAAGCUCUAUCAGCAGGGAAGAAAAUGACGGUACCUGACUAAGAAGCCCCGGCUAACUACGUGCCAGCCGCCGC
Molecule: ribosomal RNA, 507 nt
Filed under: uncultured bacterium
Lineage: Bacteria
Description: bacterial SSU rRNA
Rfam family: Bacterial small subunit ribosomal RNA
Source: RNAcentral